Molecule: ribosomal RNA, 460 nt
Filed under: uncultured bacterium
Lineage: Bacteria
Description: partial 16S ribosomal RNA
Rfam family: Bacterial small subunit ribosomal RNA
Source: RNAcentral
CCUACGGGGUGCAGCAGUGAGGAAUAUUGGUCAAUGGGCGCGAGCCUGAACCAGCCAAGUCGCGUGAGGGAUGACGGCCCUACGGGUUGUAAACCUCUUUUGCCGGGGAGCAACGGGCGCCACGUGUGGCGCCACUGCGAGUACCCGGAGAAAAAGCAUCGGCUAACUCCGUGCCAGCAGCCGCGGUAAUACGUGGGAUGCGAGCGUUAUCCGGGUUUAUUGGGUUUGAAGGGUGCGUAGGCGGAUCGUUAAGUCAGUGGUCAAAUUGAGGGGCUCAACCCCUUCCCGCCAUUGAAACUGGCGUUCUUGAGUGGAAGAGAAGUAUGCGGAAUGCGUGGUGUAGCGGUGAAAUGCAUAGAUAUCACGCAGAACCCCGAUUGCGAAGGCAGCAUGCCGGCUUCCGACUGACGCUGAAGCACGAAAGCGUGGGGAUCGAACAGGAUUAGAUACCCGAGUAGUC